AUUUGUAUAGUUUAAGUAAAAACAUUACAUUUUCAAUGUAAAAAUAAAUUACCCUAUUUUAUAAAUA
Molecule: transfer RNA, 67 nt
Filed under: Scraptia sp. SCR02
Lineage: Eukaryota; Metazoa; Arthropoda; Insecta; Coleoptera; Scraptiidae
Description: tRNA-Glu
Rfam family: tRNA
About the family: Transfer RNA (tRNA) molecules are approximately 80 nucleotides in length.
Source: RNAcentral